RNAcentral lists this long non-coding RNA (2644 nucleotides) under Triticum aestivum (bread wheat). RNAcentral's name for it is "long non-coding RNA (TAES_LNC022262)". The record is from RNAcentral. Lineage: Eukaryota; Viridiplantae; Streptophyta; Magnoliopsida; Poales; Poaceae.
CAGAUUAUAUAGACAUGCAUGAUCCAUUUUCCGAGACGGGUGGGAUUGCUGGUACUGGAAGCGGGUGAGGAAGACAUGGCUCGGUUUGAAGUGUCACCGCGUACUGUUGGUUGGACCUUUCCUUAAAAAACUCAGCAUUAUCUCCAAUUUGUUUACAAAGUUAUAGGUACAUUCUCCUAUCCAUAGUGGUCCAAUAUUGUUUCAAUGUUUAGGCUUUAGAUUUUGUGUCCUUGCCAUCAGCUAACUUGAUGUUCUGCCACUGUCAUUGUCGAUGAAUGACUGGCGGGUAAUUCUGCGGCGCGAAGGCAAGCCUAAACAUGUGGCGGGUUCAGUUUUUUUCAACUUUGGAGUUCAAUCUGUUCCAGAUUUGGGUCCUCACCGGCUCAUUCGAAAACGACCUCAACAUCAUCGAAGCCAGGAGGCAGGUACUACACAACUGGCACAAGUAUAUUCUGAAAAUUGUUUUUUAUCCAUCUUAUAUGAGUAAAUUUUGUUAUCAUGGGACACAUGCAAGUCUAGCAGUAUAGUUGAUUAGUGUUGUGAACUAUCUUCUAGCUUCUUGUUAUAGUCGAUUUGUGUGUUUGGUGCUGCACUGCAGAUGGUUUGUUUUGACCAGUCAUGUUUUUCAUAUAUCACAAAAUGUAAAUUUCAUUGUUAUCUGAAUGCAUUACUAGUGAGAUUGAUUGUUACUAAAUGAUCCCUUGUUUCUGUUAGAGUUAACCUUGUUGUAUAGGUCUAGGUCAUGUUUAUUUUGUAUUGCAUGGCAUCGUUGCGGUAGGAUUGCAUUAGUAGUGAGCUAAAAAAACCUCGAGUUUUCCCCGACAUAACCCUCAGCCCCCCCCCCUCUCCUUCCUCUCUCCCGACACCGGUGACGCCCCCGACCCCGCCGGCAACACCCCAUGGUCCCCCUCCCCCUCCCCCGCCGCCAACACUUCCUUUCUUUUACAAAACAUCCCUUCUUUUUUUAGCUCGAUUACAAAUCUCACACAGUUUGCCUCUAUCAGUUGUGUAUAUGACCAAAAGCGUGUCACCUACCCAACUGGCUGUGGCCAGCAAAAUGAGCAAUGAGGUCAGCUUACUUUUAAUUACAAAAUAAGUAGAUGCUUGCUUGCGGGUUUACUUAGUACUUCCAGUUGUGAUGCCAUCAACCUUUGCUGCCCUUUGCAACUGCAUUAGAUCUAUUUGUGGUUGCAAUGGUUGUUGUGGCAUACAGAGUUAAUAAGAAUCAUAUGAUAGAUCCCACGGUACAUCACCUUCAGUUCUCUACUUGUGUCUUGUGCUCUUCUCUUAAUCCAAAUUCUUUAAGCCUAUAUACGCCCAGAUAAGUACCUGAUAACCUUUAGUUGACUUAUUCUCACUCUUGACUAUUUGAACUACUGUAGAAGGACUCAGUUUUUCAAAGUUACUAGGCUUGUAGAUAUGCUUGAUCAUGUGGGUUAUAAUGUAAUCGAGUGCAGUGUGCAGGACAACAACCAAGAGCAAUCUAUUUAUCAUUCUAAAACAAUACCACUUACACCAAACGUCAGCAUAGUAUCAUGUUCAUGUCAGAAUAUAAGAGGUUUUGGAACUGAGGGAGUAGAUGGUGAUUAUGGACAUCAGAGAGGAAUAAAAUUGAUCACAUAUAGUAAUAUAGGGACUUUUGUCGAUGCAUGCUACCUGCACAAGCACAUCCCUAUAUGGAUAAAAUCCACUUUAAUAGAGUACCGAUAUGAAUAGGAUAGUGCGGUGCAAGACGGUGCUGGGCGAGGUGGCAAGAGGCGAUGACGACGGAUGAUACAAUGGUCAGUAGAUAAAAGGUAAGUGCCACCGCCGUUUGGUCCCUCUCCUCUCCUCCUUGCUUCUGCUUCUUUCUACAUUCAUGUUUCCUUUGCUUGCCUCGUCCGAUGUUGUUCAUCUCCAUUGCCUAAUGGGGGCCUCUUUGGGGGCUAAUCUAAGAUCAGGCAGCACAGGAGGAGAGACGGCUCUCACGGAUUAGGAUGUUGCACAUCAGGUGAACCAUUUGAUGGGCUGUUCAACAUGCUGAUCUUAUUGAUUUGUUCUUGACAUAUCCUUUGUGCUGCUGUAUUUUUUGAAUUAGUUGGUGGUUUAUAUUAGAAGUACUAACAUUCUGUCACUUUUGAGCCAUUGGUACUAUAUGUAAUUAGUAUGAACUAAAACUGCUGCUUCUGUGUUCAUAUAAGGCUCUUAAUAUCUAUGAUGUCACUAUUUUCCUUUUAAGGCUGAUCUAUUUCUUGAAUGUGUUGCAUACCUGUGGCUUAUUAUAUUUUGAGUCUAAAGCAAUAACACUACAUAGUAUAAACAGGUGAGUGAUAGGGGCGCCUCCCACCUGGCACCGCCUAACUUCCUCUCAAGCGGCGCCACCAGGUGGCGCCCCAAACACUAGUGUACAUCAGGCUGUAGCCAGCUGCACUAUAAUAGGCCUAUUGUCAAAACUGAUACUUUUUGUAUAUUAGUCCCACAUCACUCCUUUAAAUCAAAUCCCAUCAAUUUAUAUACACAAGUGAGUUGAACUAGAAUCAACCAGUCAAAAGAGUCCCAUUAAGUCAAACUCAAAAGGAGAGAAGAGACCACAUAAAGGCAGGGAGUUGGGGAAGGGACAUGCACGUCUGGUUGGCUGGCACUAAAAAUUGAGGGGAGAGGCGGU